Molecule: ribosomal RNA, 753 nt
Filed under: uncultured bacterium
Lineage: Bacteria
Description: bacterial SSU rRNA
Rfam family: Bacterial small subunit ribosomal RNA
Source: RNAcentral
AGAGUUUGAUCCUGGCUCAGGAUGAACGCUGGCGGCAUGCCUAAUACAUGCAAGUCGAACGAGGAUCCUUCGGGAUCCUAGUGGCGAACGGGUGAGUAACACGUAGGGAACCUGCCCGCGCACCGGGAAUACGCUCUGGAAACGGAGAACAAAUCCCGAUGUACAGGAAGGAGGCAUCUUCUUUCUGUGAAACAUCCUGUAAGGGAUGGGGCGCGGAUGGACCUGCGGUGCAUUAGUUGGUUGGCGAGGGUAAAGGCCCACCAAGACGAUGAUGCAUAGCCGGCCUGAGAGGGCGGACGGCCACAUUGGGACUGAGACACGGCCCAGACUCCUGCGGGAGGCAGCAGUAGGGAAUUUUCGUCAAUGGGCGCAAGCCUGAACGAGCGAUGCCGCGUGAGUGAAGAAGGCCUUCGGGUCGUAAAGCUCUGUUGCGGGGGAAAAAAGGCAUCUGCAGGAAAUGGUAGAUGACAGAUGGUGCCCCGCCAGAAAGUCACGGCUAACUACGUGCCAGCAGCCGCGGUAAUACGUAGGUGGCGAGCGUUAUCCGGAAUGAUUGGGCGUAAAGGGUGCGCAGGCGGUCCUGCAAGUCUGGAGUGAAACGUAUGAGCUCAACUCAUGCAUGGCUCUGGAAACUGGAGGACUGGAGAGCAGGAGAGGGCGGUGGAACUCCAUGUGUAGCGGUAAAAUGCGUAGAUAUAUGGAAGAACACCAGUGGCGAAGGCGGCCGCCUGGCCUGUUGCUGACGCUGAGGCA